CAAUUUUUGUUUCCAAGUCCUACUAAUUUGCUGAUUUCAGCGAUGUCUGUUGUGAGCGUAGUGUCAUUAGCGAGUACUGGAUUCAAAGAGAUUAGAGGAAAGCACCUUCACUAUUCAAAAUUCUGGAAUGUUAACGACUCUGUUUCUAACAAAAUCAAACUUUCCAGUAGAAAUGGGAUGUUCUUGCUUUAUACUCCUGCUUUUCUUGCUGGUUUUUCCUCCUUUUGGCUUUUCCCCGAUGAAGGUCUUAGGUUUUUCUAUGUCAAAUCUGCUCUUACCAUUCAUUUCUUCAAGAGAAUAUUUGAGGUGCUAUUCAUUCACAAAUAUAGUGCUUCUAUGAUUCUUGAUACCGCAAUUCCUGUUACUCUUAGUUAUUUCAUAUCUACUGUAACAAUGAUCUAUGCUCAGCACCUAACACAAGGAUAUCCUGAACCACCAAUUGAAUUGACUUAUCCUGGGAUUGUGCUCUUUCUUAUAGGAAUCAUUGGUAACUUCUAUCACCAUUACCUCCUUUCCAAGCUGAGAAGCAAGAAUGAUAAGGAAUAUAAGAUUCCUAGGGGUGGUUUAUUUGAUCUAGUGACAUGUCCUCACUAUUUGUUUGAGAUUUUAGGUUUCUGGGGAGUUUCUUUCAUUUCACAAACUUUGUAUUCCUUUUCUUUUGCUUUUGGAACCACAAUAUACUUGUUGGGAAGGAGUUAUGCCACUAGGAGAUGGUACCUUUCCAAGUUUGAAGAUUUUCCCAAGAAUGUAAAAGCCCUCGUUCCAUUUGUUUUCUGAUGCUCAGGUGGAUUUGAAGGGUGCAGAUCCAAUUUGUUUUACCUUAAUGUUGUUGGUAUAGGUACAUUACAGCCAGUCGAUUGGAUGCAUCAACUGACUAUCAAUAUAUUAAAUUAUUAAAAACAAGGAAUUUUUAU
RNAcentral lists this unclassified non-coding RNA (914 nucleotides) under Hevea brasiliensis (rubber tree). Lineage: Eukaryota; Viridiplantae; Streptophyta; Magnoliopsida; Malpighiales; Euphorbiaceae. The record is from RNAcentral.